This 306-nucleotide long non-coding RNA is filed under the name Citrus maxima (pomelo). Its description in RNAcentral is "long non-coding RNA (CMAX_LNC002196)". Lineage: Eukaryota; Viridiplantae; Streptophyta; Magnoliopsida; Sapindales; Rutaceae. The record is from RNAcentral.
GAGCGGGAACCUUAGGCUUGGUUGACUUACCCUUCUUUCGAGGAUGGGGGGUUGGGCGUUUACUGGGAAAGCGUGGGCUGACACGAGGGGUACUCUUAGGGGGAAGCUCAGAACGAGAGUUACAACUCCUAGAGGUACUAGGGGGGACCUAUCCCCCUCGCUAAUGGAGAUGUGGGAAGGAGAACCCGCAGGAGGGCUGUCAACCUUCCUAGCCCCAACUGCACGUCGCUUCCUCACGGGUCCCGUAUGUUUCUUGCUCAUCUACUUUCCCCCAACAACAUAUCCACCAGGCCACAAGUCCCCAAC